Molecule: unclassified non-coding RNA, 230 nt
Filed under: Glomeraceae sp.
Lineage: Eukaryota; Fungi; Glomeromycota; Glomeromycetes; Glomerales; Glomeraceae
Description: partial internal transcribed spacer 2
Rfam family: 5.8S ribosomal RNA (bases 1-71)
Source: RNAcentral
GUGAAUCAUCGAAUUUUUGAACGCAAAUUGCACUCUCCGGUAUUCCGGUGAGUAUUCUUGUUUGGGCGUCUGUUUAAAUAACAAUCGUUGUGGUUGCUGGUUUUCGUGGUGACGCAUUGGGUUUGGUUAGUCUUGCCUUCGGUUAAGUGACCUAAAAUUUUGCAUGAUUUUUUUUGAACGUAUUUAAAUGUUUUUACGUACGUUCUCGAUAUCAUAUAUUAUGUGUGGUC